Drosophila elegans is the source of this 1154-nucleotide long non-coding RNA. RefSeq lists it as uncharacterized. The record is from RefSeq and is a predicted model, not a curated record. The transcript has 3 exons. NCBI's taxonomy places the organism in Eukaryota, Metazoa, Arthropoda, Insecta, Diptera, Drosophilidae.
GCGAAAUCAAUAAAAGAAUGGAGACAUCGAAUUACCUUCGGCUUAGAGACAAUACCUCUGGACGUUUUGUUUAAAAACCCUGAAAUUUUUGUGUUUUAAGUCAUAAAUAAUCGCUUUUUUGGACUUUUAUUGACAUAUCAACGGUGUUUAGUCGUCUUACGGCAGUUGCAUCCUGUUGCUGGUCGCUUGCACAUGUUCGAACAGCUGAUAUCUUCACCACACUGUUCAAACACCGGCGUCACGCAAGCGUCCAUAAAUUUGCGGGCAGAGCAAAUGGCGACUCUAUACAUUAUUACUCUAUGGUGGCGGAACGUACAAGUUUGCUGAAAAGACUAAGCGUCUUCGAAACAACACCACGUCGGGACAUGCGCGCCAGCACGGACAACUACGUAUCACCCACAUUGUCACUCGCUUCCGAGACCAAUCUGCGCCUCGCCGGAUACCAGCCGGCAACCAGCGCGUGAAUUUUUUUUUGCAAACAACCUGGCCGUAGAGUGUAAGGUGAGAGGGUUCGAGUGCGGAAGGAAACAAAUAUUCAGUGUGAAAGGGGAAGAAUCCAUCCACGUGGGACGACCAUGACCGAGCUAUUAACGACUCGAUUUGAUUGAUUCAACAGAAAGUGGAAGCGAAGGCAGGCUCGCCGCAGGGUGCCAUCGGCCCUCCGCUAGCACAACACGCGAUAUGGGGCUUACCAACGCGGAACCGGGACAGACGCAGCCAUCAAAGCUUUAUACGAGUCUGCACAGCGUUUUCAUUCGACUCUGCCAGAAGCUUUCCCUAGCUCACGGAAACCAAUUACGCGACGCCUGCGGAAAACUAACUUCUGCCCGCCUGUAUGAGAGGAGGUUGUAAACGAACUCCGGAAGCCCCAGCGUUACGAAUCCAGCCCGCUUCCCGCAUCUGUCCGGCUAUUGAAUCCUACGUAAGUAUAUUUUACGCCUUGCCGCACUUUUACAGCCUCCAUUUAAGCAAUGCAGCGCCCGACUGAGCCUUCAUCCAAAGGGUGUUGAGGCCGACUCGAUCCCCUUGCCCAGCGUGCCAACGCAAAAGAGAGUGCCGAGCAGUCUUCAAUAUCUUCAAUUCUUGUUAUUUCGGGGCGCUUUUCAAACUUGAUCUGCGUACACCUGUUUUUGUAAUUCUGAAAUAUUUAACCA